ACAAGGAAACAUCCUCCACCUAGCUCUGGGCUGAAGCCUCAGAAGCAAGAAGAGAGAGCCCUUGAGUCUAUGUAUGGGAAGAAACGAGACAGAAGACAACAUACAAAGAGAUUCCCAAUUCAAAAGUCAGACACAGGGCUGAUGACAGGGACUGCAGCCCAGCUACACCGUGCCAAGCUCCAGCUUCAUGCCUUCAAAACCAAGACCACAUGGGUGACAACAGUGCCACAUUCAGCUGCCAGCACAAGGUACAUCGGUCAUCUCUGGAAGACAGCUCCCGUGUGCCAACUGAGGAAAUACCUCAGUGAUACUGCUCUCUUCUUUUUUUUUUUUUUUUCCGGAGCUGGGGACCGAAUCCAGGGCCUUGCGUUUACUAGGCAAGCGCUCUACUGCUGAGCUAAAUCCCCAACCCUCCCUGGUCGCUUCUUAAUCACAGCUGAUUCUUCAACCCCAGCUGACCAACAUCCACUGUCCCAGGAACUCCACUGUCUGGCUAUUCACAGCUGAGUCCUCAGCCCCAGCUGAUCAGACAUUACAGAUUCUUCACACAGAUGGUCCAGAGGAGUCUUUGCUUCCUUCUGAACCUGCCAAACCCAGGCCUCCAUCUUCUGCACUGCUCUCAACAUUCUUAUCCUCCAAGCUCCCACAGAACAGCUCACUGAGCUCUCAACGCUCAAUGGCUCUUUUAGCCAAAUUUC
RNAcentral lists this long non-coding RNA (698 nucleotides) under Rattus norvegicus (Norway rat). Its description in RNAcentral is "long non-coding RNA NONRATT006906". The record is from RNAcentral. Lineage: Eukaryota; Metazoa; Chordata; Mammalia; Rodentia; Muridae.